CGGAACGUGGCGUAGCUGGUGUGCGCGUGCCGCUGAAGCCGGCAAGGCGGCGGUUCGAUUCCGUCCGUUCCGG
RNAcentral lists this transfer RNA (73 nucleotides) under Gloeobacter kilaueensis JS1. RNAcentral describes it as "tRNA-Phe (GAA) (tRNA-Phe-GAA-2-1)". It matches the Rfam family "tRNA". Rfam says of the family: Transfer RNA (tRNA) molecules are approximately 80 nucleotides in length. Their secondary structure includes four short double-helical elements and three loops (D, anti-codon, and T loops). Further hydrogen bonds mediate the characteristic L-shaped molecular structure. tRNAs have two regions of fundamental functional importance: the anti-codon, which is responsible for specific mRNA codon recognition, and the 3' end, to which the tRNAs corresponding amino acid is attached (by aminoacyl-tRNA synthetases). tRNAs cope with the degeneracy of the genetic code in two manners: having more than one tRNA (with a specific anti-codon) for a particular amino acid; and 'wobble' base-pairing, i.e. permitting non-standard base-pairing at the 3rd anti-codon position. The record is from Rfam by way of RNAcentral. Lineage: Bacteria; Bacillati; Cyanobacteriota; Cyanophyceae; Gloeobacterales; Gloeobacteraceae.